ACGAAGGGUGCAAGCGUUACUCGGAAUUACUGGGCGUAAAGCGUGCGUAGGUGGUCGUUUAAGUCCGUUGUGAAAGCCCUGGGCUCAACCUGGGAACUGCAGUGGAUACUGGGCGACUAGAAUGUGGUAGAGGGUAGCGGAAUUCCUGGUGUAGCAGUGAAAUGCGUAGAGAUCAGGAGGAACAUCCAUGGCGAAGGCAGCUACCUGGACCAACAUUGACACUGAGGCACGAAAGCGUGGGGAGCAAACAG
RNAcentral lists this ribosomal RNA (251 nucleotides) under uncultured bacterium. Its description in RNAcentral is "partial 16S ribosomal RNA". It matches the Rfam family "Bacterial small subunit ribosomal RNA", at positions 525 to 775 of the family's 1533-position model. The record is from RNAcentral. RNAcentral also lists the same sequence under 1 other name.